RNAcentral lists this transfer RNA (75 nucleotides) under Butyrivibrio sp. RNAcentral describes it as "tRNA-Met". It matches the Rfam family "tRNA". From Rfam's summary of the family: Transfer RNA (tRNA) molecules are approximately 80 nucleotides in length. RNAcentral also lists the same sequence under 1 other name. The record is from RNAcentral. Lineage: Bacteria; Bacillati; Bacillota; Clostridia; Lachnospirales; Lachnospiraceae.
UGCAAGGUCAUCUAACGGCUAGGAUGUGCGGUUCAUACCCGCAGAAUGAGGGUUCGAUUCCCUCCUUUGCAACCA